UGUUGCGGGAAGAGAAACCAGAUAGACCACCACAAAACUUGUCUUCAUAUCCCCAAGAAACUUCAGACCGUGAAGAGAAAGUGAAGAAAGUGUCGCCACCUCGUGGGAAAGGGUUGCGGGAAGAAAAACCAGACAGACCACAAAACUUGUCUAAAAGAGACGUCAGGUCGUCAGACAUCCCUACCUUUACAAACUUCAGGCAGAACACAAGUGAAACGGUUUCAAGACAAUAUGAAACCGACUCUUCGCUUGAUGAAAACAUUGAUGCACUGCUUGAGGUAAAAUAUGAGAUGAACCUGUGAGAUUGGUUUGCAAGCAAUGGUAGAAAAACUUUUACUAAUAGUUACCGCAUGACUUUUUCAGGAAGAGGAAGCUCUGAUUACAGCACACAGAAAAGAAAUAGAGGAUACAAUGGAGAUUGUUCGCGAGGUAAGUAAACGUAAACAAGUGACUGCAAUUGUAGAUUAUUAUCUCUCUGUUAAACUUUUCAUAAUCUUACUUAGGAGAUGAAGCUUUUAGCGGAGGUGGACAAACCGGGAAGCAUGAUAGAAAACUAUGUCACGCAACUGAGCUUUGUCUUGUCGAGGAAAGCAGCGGGGCUUGUGAGUCUCCAAGCCAGGCUUGCUCGGUUCCAACACCGUCUCAAGGAACAAGAAAUACUUAGCCGUAAGAGAGUUCCUCCUCGAUAGUUGGUACAAGAAAGAAACCCAAAAAAAAACGAUUGUGUGUGUGGUGUUGUCAAGUGUGAAAGUUGCUUGGGACACAGUGGGAUGAAGAAAAAAAAAUGUCCAUUGUGUUUGUGAAUUUGGGAAUAUAUAUAUAUAUUUCAUUUUAUUCUUAUCAUAAAAUUAUACAAUUUGUGUUUACUGUACAAUGAAAUGUGAAUUAAAACUCUUUUCUCAGUCAACUGAAAAAAAGAAGAAUAUAAACAUUUACGAUGUAAUUAUAACCAAUUUAGUAAAAGCCAUGUAAUAAAAAAAAUCAGAUUCUUAAUAGCUAAUAUAAAUUAUUUGCUACCGUCUAGAAAGACAAGGGGAAUAGGUCCAAAAAUAGUACCGCUCGUGUCGUGAACACAAAAAGCCCAACUAAAAGGCCUUGGCCCACCUUACGUUUGUCACGUGACAUGCCAUUUGCAUAAACAAGACUCGAUCUGCACCGUCCGAUGCUUAAACCCAAACGGAUAUCAACCGUCCAUCGAAACGCUCUUAUCUCCUCCACCUUCCCGUCGUAGUCGCACUGUCGCAGGCGAGUAAAAGGCGUAUGAAAAGAUAUUUCUCAGAUCUAGGUAAACACUUUCCGCCAUUGCUCCUCUCCUCGCUCUCUGUGUAAGCUUUUAGGGGCUUCAUUUUCGAUGAAUUCUCCUUGUAUUUCUAUUGAAUUUUAUGAUCAAAUAAAUAUGCGUGCGAUUAGAGAAGAGACGAGUCCUGAGCUAGGGUUUUGUAUUUAGAUUGGUUGGUUGGAGCAGUGAUUCGUGAUUUCGUUUUUGUUUAUGAUCGUGAACAGCUCAGAUCUUUAUGGAACUAUUAAGUUAUGUUUGCGAUAGUCCUGAGCUUGAAUUUAUAUCAAAGGUUUAGCCUUUUUUUUUUUUAAUGGGUGUGAACAGGUAAGAUAUGGAAGAGAAGAAGCUUGCAGACGAUAGAAACAGCGAUGAGCAAGUAGAGAGAAUUGAAUUGGUGGUUUCUGAUGUUGAUGCGAGGGAUACAGAAGAUGAGGUCUUUGAGGAAGCUAUCGACAGUUCGAAGCCUGAAUCUUUUCAAGCCGAUGAUGGGUUACACGAGGAUUCACCUUCAGAGGAAGUGAAAGAUUCCAAGGUUAAUGGAGAGAGCCAUGGUGAGGCAAACGGGCAAGAUAUAACUACGGGAGAGGCUGUACCAGGUUUUGUGACUUCCCGAAUGAAUGGUGUUGAAGGGGAAGCAAGUGCAGGGAAUGUCAGCGAUACAGCUACACUUUCUUUUUCUGAAAAUGGAACUGUCUCUCUUGAGAAGAAAGCUGUUCUCCUCUCUUUCGGGUAAGCUUUUAGGGUUUCAUUUUUAAUGAAUUCGUCUUGUAUGUAUAUCUUUGAAAAGAGACGAGUAUUCUAGAGUUUGUGGUGAUAAUCCUGAGCUACGGGUUUGUUUCUGCUCUAUCUUUUCUGUUAGGGUUGCUGGAAAUUAUAUCAAGGGUUAAGCAUUUUUGUUUGGUUAGUGCAAUGAUUGGUGAUUUCGUUUUGGUUAUGGUUGUGAGCAGGUCAGAUAUGGAAGAGAAGAAGCUUGUAGACGAUAGAAUCAGCGAUGACCAAGUAGAUAACAACAUAUUGCUGGUUUCUAAUGUUGAUGCGAGGGAUACCGUAGAUGAGGUAUUUGAGGAAGCUAUUAACGGUUUCCAAGACGAUGAUGGGUUGCACGAGGAUUUACCUCGAGAGGCAACUCCUGCAGUUUACAUGGAUGAUCUGGAAGAAGUGAGUAGCAAUGAGAAGGAAGUGAUAGAUUCCAUGGUUAGUGGAGAGAGCCAUGGGGAGGCAAACGUGCAAGAUAUAACUACGGGAGAGGCUGCACCAGGUUUUGUGACUUUCAAAAUGAAUGGUGAUGAGGGGAAGUCAGGUACAGAUAAUGUCAGCGAGACAGCUACACAUUCUUUUUCUGAAAAUGGAAAGAAACAACUGGUGGCUGAAGUGAUCGAGGAAACAAGGAAUGGUGGUAUAGAAGAGGAAAACAGGGAUGAAAAUGUUGAUGUAUCAGCUGGCAGAGGAACAGAACAAGAGGCACAAAGAAAUGGUGAGACUGCUGCCGAUUACAACACUGUUAAACGUGCUUCAGGUGAGAGAUCCUUGAAUGAUAGUAUAGCUUGUGCUGGGACCUUAUCUCCAUUGGAGAAAUCUAGUUCUGAGGAAAAGGGAGAGACUGAAGGUCACAUCAGUAGAGAGCAUGAUACUGUUCAAAACAGUAAGGGAGGACUUGGUGUUGAACAUACUUCUCAACCUAAUAAGGAAUUUGAGAAGAAGCAAGGCAGCAGAGUGAAUAUGAGUCCAGAGAUUCAGGAAAGCCCACAUUUGGAAAGAAAAUCUGAGGAAGCAAGUUCUGUUUCACCAACAGAAUCUACAAGUAAUACUGCAGCGUCACCUCCUGCUCGCCCAGCAGGCCUUGGGCGUGAUGCUCCUCUUUUGGAAUCCACACCACGUGUUCCUCAUCAGCCUCGUGUCAAUGGUAAUGUGUCUCAGAAUCAGUCUGAGCAAGCAGAGGACCCUACCCCUGCAGAGACCGAUGAGCAUGAUGAGACCCGUGAGAAGCUCCAAUUGAUCAGGGUCAAGUUUUUGAGGCUUUCACAUAGAUUAGGGCAAACUCCACAUAAUGUUGUUGUUGCUCAGGUUUUGUAUAGGCUUGGAUUAGCAGAGCAGUUGAGGGGGAGAAACGGAAGCCGUGUUGGUGCCUUUAGUUUUGAUCGAGCCAGUUCCAUGGCAGAACAACUUGAGGCAGCUGGACAGGAUCCACUUGAUUUUUCUUGUACAGUUAUGGUGCUCGGUAAAAGUGGUGUUGGUAAGAGUGCUACGAUUAAUUCUAUUUUUGAUGAACCGAAAAUCUGUACCGAUGCAUUUCAGAUGGGGACAAAGAGGGUUCAGGAGGUUGAGGGUUUUGUUCAGGGAAUUAAGGUUCGGGUGAUUGACACUCCAGGUCUCUUACCAUCAUGGUCUGAUCAACACAAGAAUGAGAAAAUGUUGAAGUCUGUUAAGGCUUUCAUCAAGAAAAAUCCACCGGAUAUCGUAUUAUAUCUUGAUAGGCUGGAUAUGCAAAGCAGAGAUUCUGGUGACACUCCUCUCUUGCGCACCAUCACUGAUGUUUUUGGACCAUCGAUAUGGUUUAAUGCCAUUGUGGGUUUGACUCAUGCCGCUUCUGCUCCACCAGAUGGCCCAAAUGGCACUGCCUCUAGCUAUGACAUGUUUGUAACACAACGUUCUCAUGUCAUUCAGCAGGCCAUUCGCCAAGCAGCUGGAGAUAUGAGGCUCAUGAACCCUGUGUCUUUAGUUGAGAACCACUCUGCUUGCAGGACAAAUCGGGCAGGUCAGAGAGUAUUGCCGAAUGGCCAAGUGUGGAAGCCUCAUUUGCUGUUACUCUCAUUUGCGUCCAAGAUUCUAGCAGAAGCAAAUGCUCUUCUGAAAUUACAAGAUAAUAAUACUCCAGGGAGACCAUUUGUAGCUCGAUCCAAGGCUCCACCACUGCCACUUCUCCUCUCAUCGUUUCUGCAAUCAAGACCGCAAGCUAAACUUCCUGAAGAGCAGUAUGGUGAUGAAGAAGAUGAAGAUGAUUUGGACGAAUCAUCAGGUUCUGACGAAGAAUCAGAGUACGACCAGCUUCCUCCUUUUAAGCGUUUGACUAAAGCUGAGAUGGGUAGUCUUAGUAAAUCUCAGAAGAAGGAAUAUCUUGAUGAGAUGGAGUACCGGGAGAAACUAUUUAUGAAGAGGCAGAUGAAAGAGGAAAGAAAGAGACGUAAGAUGAUGAAGAAAUUUGCUGCCGAGAUUAAAGAAUUUGCUAACGGGCAUAGUGAAAAUGUGGAAGAGGAGAGAAGUGAACCUGCUUCUGUUCCAGUUCCCAUGCCAGAUUUGUCUCUACCUGCAUCGUUCGACUCUGACAACCCUACUCACAGGUACCGGUCUCUUGAUUCCUCCAAUCAGUGGCUUGUUAGGCCAGUCCUGGAAACUCAGGGGUGGGAUCAUGAUGUUGGGUAUGAAGGUGUCAAUGCAGAACGACUUUUUGUUGUUAAAGAAAAGAUACCGAUAUCUUUCUCGGGGCAAGUUACAAAGGACAAAAAGGAUGCAAAUGUGCAGCUGGAAAUGGCCAGCUCGGUUAAACAUGGAGAGGGCAGAUCAACCUCCCUAGGUUUUGAGAUGCAAAAUGCUGGGAAGGAAUUGGCUUACACUGUUCGAAGUGAUACCAAAUUUAACAAUUUUAGGAAACACAAAGCUGCAGCUGGUCUCUCUGUAACGCUCUUGGGUGAUUCGGUGUCUGCGGGGCUGAAAGUUGAGGAUAAGUUGAUUGCUAAUAAAAGGUUCAGAAUGGUUAUGUGUGGAGGGGCAAUGACUAGUCGAGGAGAUGUUGCUUAUGGGGGUAGUUUAGAAGCUCAGCUGAGAGAUAAAGAUUAUCCGCUGGGUAGGUUUUUAUCUACUCUAGGACUUUCUGUGAUGGAUUGGCAUGGGGAUCUUGCUAUUGGAGGGAAUAUACAGUCCCAGGUGCCCAUAGGACGUUCAUCUAAUCUAAUAGCUCGUGCUAAUCUGAACAACAGAGGGGCAGGGCAAGUAAGCCUCCGCGUAAAUAGCUCUGAGCAGCUCCAACUUGCACUGGUCGCAUUGGUUCCUCUGUUCAAGAAGCUACUUAGUUAUUAUUCCCCUCAGCAAAUGGAAUAUUGACAAUAAUGGAUCACUUCGGGUUUCAAUUCACUUACUACAAGAACAUCCUAGAUUGAGAGUUGAAAAGGUACUAAUCUAUCUGCUUUUGCUUUCUUAUUCCAUUUGCUGUAAACCCGCUUUAUUGAUUGCUGAUGUGGCUUUUGGUUUUUGAGCAGGAACCUUGGUGUGCCCUUUGGGUUGAAAACUUUAAGAACAAUUUGUUGGAGGAGGCCUCUGUUUUCUUUACAUAGCCAGAACACUUGUUCGUUCCUUGUCUAAUUUAAGCAUAGUUGUGGUUUUAUUCUCUUUCCAAAACCUUUGUAUGGCUUUCUGUUCAUGUCUACCUCUGGAUUUUUCAUAAAGCUUGUUAAAAUUAUGCUGCAAUCUACUUGUUGAUUUUAAGACACCCAUCAUCACCCUCUGAGCUAGCCGUAAUUCAAGGCUUUUAAAGGGAGUUUUGUAGGGGUCCUUAUCAUCUGCUAAACGUCUUUUAAUGUUGUCAAGCAUCUAUUGUAAGCUGCUUUGGAAAGUCAAAGUUGCUGGUAACUUUUGUUGCGCCAGUUCGUAUUAUGCGUCUUUCCCUCAAAUCAAAAGAUUCUGUUGUUGAUACUGUUACUGCGAAUCUCACAUUGUCACGUUGAGUCCCACCAAAUCCAUUGGUUUGGUGCUCAUGCAAUCCAUCUGCGAGACUUCUGUUACACAAUUUGCUCUUGUUAGCAGCGAGAUGUGGUAGCUUUGGUCUUGUUGUCAUUAUAAAAGCUUCUGUGGUGGAAAUACCGUUUGGAUUUGCCAGUUCUUAACGGAAGAGAUUAUCUAUGUGAAAGUUGUCACUGCAUGUUUUGACUUGUCUAAUAUUGUCGAGUAGGAAGCUUUUAAUGGGAGAAGAUGGUAGACAAGAAGUUUACAGUGUUGGGCUGCAAGAGUAUGAAGUCUCAGAUGUUCAAAUUGUAAGGUACUUAUCGAGAAAGGGAACGCUGAAAGGAGCACAGGGUCAACUGGAGCAAAUGGGGAGUCAUCUAGAUCACAUGCUAUCUUACAACUUGUUGGAAAGAAACACGUUUUGAGGUAAAAGAAACCAGACGUAAAAAUGAUGAUGCCAAUGAAUUGCCUGGGAAAGUUGUUGGGAAGAGUACUUUCAUUGAUCUUGCUGGCAGUGAAAUAGGUGCAGACACCACAGACAAUGACCGCCAGACAAGGUGAGAAUGCUCUCUAGACGUCGUGGCUGAGUACUGAUGUGGGACCCACAAAUGACGCUGGAGAUGAUGUCAUGGCACGCUGGCAAUGAUCAGCGUUAUCUUUCAAACCUUCUCAUGCAGGUACUUUGCUUUCCCUGAGUCUUUCUUUCCAUUACACUCUUCCAAUAACUUGCAUGCCUUGUAGGUGGUAAUUGCCAAUGUUUUGUUAGAGCUUUGGUUCGCUGAAUGCUGAGUAUGAAUGUAAGCUUGGAAUCUUUUUGACCAUCCUUGUGAAUUGUGCUUAUCUUGCUAGAAUUUGUUUCAGGGCAUGUUAGUAAUUUAUCUCUUUCGAUUGGUAAUUUUCUUAGCUAUAGAAACUUUACUGGCUGGCUGCUUUGUGUUUGUUUUUGCUGUAUCUGCCACGGUUAUGGAGCUCAGACUGCUGGAGAGAAUCAAAAGCUUUUCAAACUAAUGUGAAAUCUGAAUCUCUACGGAGAGUACUCUGAAUCAUAUAUACACCAUCAGCAGCUUUUCAAACUAAUGUGAAAUCUGAAUCUCAACGGAGAGUACUCUGAAUCAUAUAUACACCAUCAGCAGCUAUGCCUUCUUCGGAAGGAUUUUUUUUCCACCCGAGUUCAGAGAUGAUUUUGGAGCUUGUUUGAUGGGAUCUUCAUGCAGUGGAUGACUCAGAGCUUCUCUCUGAGGUACGUUUGGAAGGACAACUAGACAUAGAUCAUUCAUAGUUAUGUUGAUUGGUAUGUUCUGUAGAAACUAUAGCCUCUCUUGAAACUAAUUCUCAGCUUCUCUUAACUUCAGACCGUGAAGAGAAAGUGUCACCACCUCGUGGGAAAGGGUUGCGGGAAGAAAAACCAGCCAGACCACAAAACAUGUCUAAGAGAGACGUCAGGUCGUCAGAUAUCCCCUACCUUUACAAACUUUAGGCAGACACAAGUAAGCCAUACAUAUAUAUAUAUAACCGACCCUUCACUUGAUGAAAACAUCGAUGCAC
This 7540-nucleotide long non-coding RNA is filed under the name Brassica rapa (field mustard). RNAcentral describes it as "long non-coding RNA (BRAP_LNC003843)". The record is from RNAcentral. Lineage: Eukaryota; Viridiplantae; Streptophyta; Magnoliopsida; Brassicales; Brassicaceae.